GGGUUGUGAGGUUAAGCGACUAAGCGUACACGGUGGAUGCCCUGGCAGUCAGAGGCGAUGAAGGACGUGCUAAUCUGCGAUAAGCGUCGGUAAGGUGAUAUGAACCGUUAUAACCGGCGAUUUCCGAAUGGGGAAACCCAGUGUGAUUCGUCACACUAUCAUUAACUGAAUCCAUAGGUUAAUGAGGCGAACCGGGGGAACUGAAACAUCUAAGUACCCCGAGGAAAAGAAAUCAACCGAGAUUCCCCCAGUAGCGGCGAGCGAACGGGGAGCAGCCCAGAGCCUGAAUCAGUGUGUGUGUUAGUGGAAGCGUCUGGAAAGGCGCGCGAUACAGGGUGACAGCCCCGUACACAAAAAUGCACAUACUGUGAGCUCGAUGAGUAGGGCGGGACACGUGGUAUCCUGUCUGAAUAUGGGGGGACCAUCCUCCAAGGCUAAAUACUCCUGACUGACCGAUAGUGAACCAGUACCGUGAGGGAAAGGCGAAAAGAACCCCGGCGAGGGGAGUGAAAAAGAACCUGAAACCGUGUACGUACAAGCAGUGGGAGCACAGAGCAAUCUGUGUGACUGCGUACCUUUUGUAUAAUGGGUCAGCGACUUAUAUUCUGUAGCAAGGUUAACCGAAUAGGGGAGCCGAAGGGAAACCGAGUCUUAACUGGGCGUUAAGUUGCAGGGUAUAGACCCGAAACCCGGUGAUCUAGCCAUGGGCAGGUUGAAGGUUGGGUAACACUAACUGGAGGACCGAACCGACUAAUGUUGAAAAAUUAGCGGAUGACUUGUGGCUGGGGGUGAAAGGCCAAUCAAACCGGGAGAUAGCUGGUUCUCCCCGAAAGCUAUUUAGGUAGCGCCUCGUGAAUUCAUCUCCGGGGGUAGAGCACUGUUUCGGCAAGGGGGUCAUCCCGACUUACCAACCCGAUGCAAACUGCGAAUACCGGAGAAUGUUAUCACGGGAGACACACGGCGGGUGCUAACGUCCGUCGUGAAGAGGGAAACAACCCAGACCGCCAGCUAAGGUCCCAAAGUCAUGGUUAAGUGGGAAACGAUGUGGGAAGGCCCAGACAGCCAGGAUGUUGGCUUAGAAGCAGCCAUCAUUUAAAGAAAGCGUAAUAGCUCACUGGUCGAGUCGGCCUGCGCGGAAGAUGUAACGGGGCUAAACCAUGCACCGAAGCUGCGGCAGCGACGCUUAUGCGUUGUUGGGUAGGGGAGCGUUCUGUAAGCCUGCGAAGGUGUGCUGUGAGGCAUGCUGGAGGUAUCAGAAGUGCGAAUGCUGACAUAAGUAACGAUAAAGCGGGUGAAAAGCCCGCUCGCCGGAAGACCAAGGGUUCCUGUCCAACGUUAAUCGGGGCAGGGUGAGUCGACCCCUAAGGCGAGGCCGAAAGGCGUAGUCGAUGGGAAACAGGUUAAUAUUCCUGUACUUGGUGUUACUGCGAAGGGGGGACGGAGAAGGCUAUGUUGGCCGGGCGACGGUUGUCCCGGUUUAAGCGUGUAGGCUGGUUUUCCAGGCAAAUCCGGAAAAUCAAGGCUGAGGCGUGAUGACGAGGCACUACGGUGCUGAAGCAACAAAUGCCCUGCUUCCAGGAAAAGCCUCUAAGCAUCAGGUAACAUCAAAUCGUACCCCAAACCGACACAGGUGGUCAGGUAGAGAAUACCAAGGCGCUUGAGAGAACUCGGGUGAAGGAACUAGGCAAAAUGGUGCCGUAACUUCGGGAGAAGGCACGCUGAUAUGUAGGUGAAGCGACUUGCUCGUGGAGCUGAAAUCAGUCGAAGAUACCAGCUGGCUGCAACUGUUUAUUAAAAACACAGCACUGUGCAAACACGAAAGUGGACGUAUACGGUGUGACGCCUGCCCGGUGCCGGAAGGUUAAUUGAUGGGGUCAGCGCAAGCGAAGCUCUUGAUCGAAGCCCCGGUAAACGGCGGCCGUAACUAUAACGGUCCUAAGGUAGCGAAAUUCCUUGUCGGGUAAGUUCCGACCUGCACGAAUGGCGUAAUGAUGGCCAGGCUGUCUCCACCCGAGACUCAGUGAAAUUGAACUCGCUGUGAAGAUGCAGUGUACCCGCGGCAAGACGGAAAGACCCCGUGAACCUUUACUAUAGCUUGACACUGAACAUUGAGCCUUGAUGUGUAGGAUAGGUGGGAGGCUUUGAAGUGUGGACGCCAGUCUGCAUGGAGCCGACCUUGAAAUACCACCCUUUAAUGUUUGAUGUUCUAACGUUGACCCGUGAUCCGGGUUGCGGACAGUGUCUGGUGGGUAGUUUGACUGGGGCGGUCUCCUCCUAAAGAGUAACGGAGGAGCACGAAGGUUGGCUAAUCCUGGUCGGACAUCAGGAGGUUAGUGCAAUGGCAUAAGCCAGCUUGACUGCGAGCGUGACGGCGCGAGCAGGUGCGAAAGCAGGUCAUAGUGAUCCGGUGGUUCUGAAUGGAAGGGCCAUCGCUCAACGGAUAAAAGGUACUCCGGGGAUAACAGGCUGAUACCGCCCAAGAGUUCAUAUCGACGGCGGUGUUUGGCACCUCGAUGUCGGCUCAUCACAUCCUGGGGCUGAAGUAGGUCCCAAGGGUAUGGCUGUUCGCCAUUUAAAGUGGUACGCGAGCUGGGUUUAGAACGUCGUGAGACAGUUCGGUCCCUAUCUGCCGUGGGCGCUGGAGAACUGAGGGGGGCUGCUCCUAGUACGAGAGGACCGGAGUGGACGCAUCACUGGUGUUCGGGUUGUCAUGCCAAUGGCACUGCCCGGUAGCUAAAUGCGGAAGAGAUAAGUGCUGAAAGCAUCUAAGCACGAAACUUGCCCCGAGAUGAGUUCUCCCUGAC
RNAcentral lists this ribosomal RNA (2804 nucleotides) under Escherichia coli. RNAcentral describes it as "bacterial LSU rRNA". It matches the Rfam family "Bacterial large subunit ribosomal RNA". Lineage: Bacteria; Pseudomonadati; Pseudomonadota; Gammaproteobacteria; Enterobacterales; Enterobacteriaceae. The record is from RNAcentral.